UUUGUUUUCACAAUUUUGUUGGUGCAAUUAGUCUGAAUUGUCUUAGAAUGUUACAAGUGUAUUUCACAUUGAUUAUACCUUCUAGAGAUUUUGGAAAGAUUCAAUAUUUAGCUAAUUUUGCUAAAUUAUAUGAUGAUUCACUUUAUGAGGUGGCCUAAGGUUAGUUUGAGGGCAAAUAUGAUUUUUAUUAAUACAAUUGUCAUGGAGUAGCUUAUUCCACCUUUUCUCUACUUUGUUCCUUAUGCUUGUUUUCUCUAUCAUGACCCUGAUUCAAUCACUAACCGACCUAAUGAACGUUAAAUGCAUGAGAAUUCAAAAGAAGAUUCAUGAUAUAGGAUUCAUGGAGUGGGCUUAUGUAAUUGUCUUGAAUCUUGGAUACCUCUGGUGUGAAAAAUGUAGUUUAUAAUAUAUGAUAUGCAAUUUGAUUUGAUUUUGCACCUUUUUAUGUUGAGACAAGAUUCAAGAUUUGGCAAUAUUUUGUUUUGCUAAAGCAUUAGAUAAUGUUUUGAUGUGGCUCUUUGGCAUAGAAUUUGAUGUUGAGGAUGAUAGUGGUAUUUUGAUGAUUAAUACAAUAAUCAAGAGUAUGUUACAAGUUAAUUCGAUACAUCAUUUAUAAGUCUGUCAC
RNAcentral lists this long non-coding RNA (625 nucleotides) under Phoenix dactylifera (date palm). Its description in RNAcentral is "long non-coding RNA (PDAC_LNC001968)". Lineage: Eukaryota; Viridiplantae; Streptophyta; Magnoliopsida; Arecales; Arecaceae. The record is from RNAcentral.